AUUUAAGACCCAGGGUGAGGAAAAAGUAAUUCUUCACCCUGGUCAGUCCGCCGUGUGACGGUCUGGUUCAACCCAGCACAAACCGAUGUAAAUUUAUAGCAAUUUUUUUAUCGUGCCGCUGUAAUUUUACGUUGACGCUGGAAGGUCGUGGGGAUUAGGAGCUAGCCCACCCCAUACAUCAAUAGAUGUGAGCGGUUUCGUCUGAACGCCGACUAGCGAGCGGUGAUUGGCGGCGUGCUGGACGGCGACGUGCUCGGCGGAUAAUUCUCAUCGGAUGAUUCCCUCGCUCCCCUGUCCAUCUUUCCCCCGUCCUCUCGUGCGACUCAGAGACCGAAAGCGGCAGCGGUGAUGGAGCGUACAACGAUUUUGCGGCGGCGACCAAUCCCAAAUCCAUCCCACUGCUCAGUCGGAUAAGGCGCUUGCGACAACCAACAUUCACCGAACCAGAUUUUCCAUUUCCUCGACAGGCGGCUCCGGCACAGGAAUGAAAGUGCGCCCUAUGUUCAGAUUCCAGAAGCUAUGCCACGGCCGCCUACAAUUCCACCCAGGAUAGCUAAUUUGCAUGCAAAUUUGAUUUCUGAUCUCUUCCCAAUCUGUCAUGUUCAUUCAAUUUUAUACGGUCAUAGUUUAGCUAGGCUCCAUAUAUCCGUAGUUGCAAAACAAUUCUUGAGAUUUCUUUGGUAAAAUUUCUGGAAUAUUACAUAAUAUUGCCUGUGCCAUCAUAACCAUUUGUUUAUCCCCUAGUAUAAAAAUACCAAAGUGAGGUCUCUAUACAUACAUACGAGAAGCACCUCUUUAAUUGUAAUUUGCUGGUAGAAACAUCGACCCGUUAUUACUGGACAUGAAGUAGCUUUUACAAAUGCUAUAGGUAAUUGCGUGGAAAUUGAUCUGAGAAAUUGUUGUCGAGAUAGGUAAUUACAUACUUGAGAACAGUUGCUCUUUAAGAUUUCUUGAGCUUUAUUCCGGGUGCUCAAGUGAAGCAAUUGCUUCUCAUUGAAGGGUCUGUUUCUUUCUUGGACGGGUCAGGUUGUUCCUAUUUUCUCUUUUAUUCAGAUUGGAUUUGUAAAUCAGAAAGUGUGAUGCUCAACGAGAUUCAGGUCGCGCUAAGACAUCAACAAUCAGUGCCGACAAGCCUCCACUAUCUAUUGCAGAAAUGAAGAACCGUGUUGAUUGCUUAUCUUGAAUAUGAUUUUGGGCAAAUAGGACCUGACUAGCUUCUAAAUCUGCUGAACUGUACUGAUCAUAGUGUGAAACUAAUUUUGCUUUUGCUCUUCUAAAGGCCAUCUCACGUUGAUUCAUAAUUUGCCAGAGGAGAUGGCACAGUUGGAAGUUAUGUUCAGUUUCUUGAUCGUUAUGCUAAUUCUCUGUCCAUUUGUAAGACAGCUGUUGAUGUUCAGAAUAAUAAGGGAAGUGCCUUGCACCUGAAUGUCAAAUGAAAAAGUAGAGCUGAAGGUUGUGAUCUAUAUCCUUGCCAUGGUUGCUCCUUGCUGAUACAGGCUUUUAUAUUUGAAUGCUCGCUACUCUCGCACAUAUAUAGAUUUUUCAUUAUAGAUGCAAAUUUGGAGCUGCUUAAAUUUGCUUGCCUGUCGUUUUACUUAGCAAUCUGCAAGAAAAAGAAGGACACCAUAGAUUGCUUGGCAAUAAAGAUCGACAUAAAUUAGCAAUUUGUGUGUACCCUUAGAAGUCUAUAUAUUUAUUAAAUUCUGAAUUACUUGUGCUCGCGUCCUUAAUGUGAUGGUUGCUUUGCCUUAUGAUCAAAUUCUCAAUUGGUAAUGGUGACUACAUUAGACUGUUUAAGCAACUAAGCAAGUCAAGUCCCCUCGUGACUACAAGUCAUGAGUGCCGCUGCACUAUUCUUGUAUGUUCUUCUAUUUUCAAUGGAAGCAUUCAAUCAUAUUUGUUUUUUUCUCUCACAUCAGUUUAUAUACCUCUCCAUGGAUCAUUCAGGUGUAAAAAUAUGGAUUUUCACUUUCGACCUGCAGUAUUUGACGGUCUCUGUGUGGAGGGUUUCAGAACUUUCUCUAGGCGCAGACCUGAAUACUAGCAGUACACGCUUGCAGCUAGCAAAAAAUGCAAGAUGCAGGGUCGUGUUUUCUUUUUCCAAUGCAUGGUAUCUGUUCAGGUGGAUGACUGCUAAUUUAUGUGGGAUAGGAAUGUCUUCAUAUUUGUGGUGGGUACAAGUAAUAUUAAAUUGAAAUUUUAGGCCCUCUUUUCAUUACAACCAAUGGCAAAAUUUAGGUUUUGGUGAGAAGAAAGGUGAACCUAAUGGCUACAGCACUAUCAAGAAGAAUGUUUUAAUCACUGGAGAAAUUGAGGAACAAAUGAAGUUGAUAGAAGAACGAGCAAUAAAUAUCUAUUAAACACAUAUAUAGAUUGCUUGGCUAUAAAGAUCGACAUAAAUUAGCAUUACUUGUUUUGGGCAUAGCUGAACGUACAAGCUUAAUACUACUGAAAUUCUAAAAUCGAUCAGAAGUAAUGUUUGGUUUUGUUCAUAGGUCGUCCCCUGUUUUGUCAUUCCAACUAACUGAAAGAGAUUGUAAUUGGGUCAACAAAUGGCAUACAUUUUUUUAAGCUGACAAACCUAUUUUGUUGAAAAUCUGAACUUUGUAGUUCAGUAGCUAUUGUGUAGGUGUAUUUCAAUCUUAUGGCUUUUUUUGCUUGAGAUUCGUAUACUGUAUGAUGUUGAGUUUGUUCACAUUAACCUAUGUUCCUAUUUUGCUGAGUUAUCCACUGAAAUAUGCUUAAUUUCUUCUUAAUUCCCCGUGUUUACUACCACAGUACCACUAUAUUUGAUAUGUUUUUAUUUAGUUCCAUUUAAUAUUGAUUCAGCUAUAUUAUGGGUGGCUUUGGCAUUUUCCCCUUACAAUCGUGUGUCUGACGAAUUAUGGGGAGUGCCUCUUUCACACUAAUGUUCAUUGCAAACUAAUCAUGAAAUUCAAUUACUUCAGGUCUUUACUUUCAACAUGAUCUACCUCCAAUUUUUUGCUCCUCUUGUUUCAUCACAAAGCAAUGAAGUUUAGUACUCCCUCUGUUCACUUUUAUAAGACGCUGUAGACAUUUCAGACAGUGCCUAAAACAGUUCAAUCUUAGCUGUCUGAAACGUCUUAUAAAAAUGAAUGGAGGGAGUAGCAUAACUUCUAGUAGUAUUAAGAAAAUCCAUAUUGAAGGGACUUAAGAUACUUCUAUGUUUUAUUUUGAUGACACUCAGGUGUCAGACUAGUUAGACUUAGACAUUGUCGUAAAUAGUUGCUAGACACAGACUAGUUCAAUACGACGACUCCUACCAUUGAAGCUGGCACAGUUUGAUAAAAGACAUGGUUAGUGAGCAUUUAAACAAUAGUUACAGAAUUUUCUUUUUGUCUUGUUUCUCACUAUACUUUUGAUUCACCUGCAGCUAGCAUGUUAUGGGUUCAUGUGAUUCUGAUGAAUUUGGUACAUCAAAAAUCCCACUGUGAUAUCUUUGAUUUUCACAUUAUAUUAUUUCUAGUUCAGGGAAGUGAAGCCUAUUAGUCAUAAAGUGUACAUGUGCUUAUGUGAUGUUGGUAUACUUUCAAGAAUUGAAAUAUUCUAUUUUUUCAGUAUCUGUUCAAGUGGAUGACGGUUAAUGUACAAGGGAUAGAGAGUCAUGUCUUCAUAUUUAUGGUCGGUAAGAGUAAUGUGCAAUUGAAAUUCAAACCUUCGUUACUAAUAACCAGUAGCAAGGUUUAGGUUUUGUGAGAAGAAAAGUGAACCAAAGGAGAUAGUACUAUUAAUAGGAUACUGUGUUUCUUCCAGCCCAUGGAUAAGAAUGUUUCAGUCGUUGCAGAGAUAGCUGAACAGAUGAAGUUGGCGUAAAAUCUAUGGUCACCUACUGGUUCAAGAUCAAGUUCGACAGUAGUCAGUUUGCAAGUUCGAUAGCAUUCAAUUUUGUAAUAGUGAUUUCUGAAAAAUAAUAAUCAUGCUGCUGGUUACUUAGAGCUCAGUGGCAUUCAGUUACGUCCAACCGAAUUUUAUUUGUAAUCUUAAGAUGGCUUUUGUUACGUAAGUAUUUCUUGGAACCACUACACGGAAUCUAGUAUUUACUAGACCGCUUUGUUAUUCCAUGGUUACCAAAAAUUCCUUGUGUACAAAAUCAACCAGUGACCUAUGUUUCUUACGGUUACUAAAAAU
This 4149-nucleotide ribosomal RNA is filed under the name Triticum aestivum (bread wheat). RNAcentral describes it as "partial small subunit ribosomal RNA". The record is from RNAcentral. Lineage: Eukaryota; Viridiplantae; Streptophyta; Magnoliopsida; Poales; Poaceae.